GACGAACGCUGGCGGCGUGCUUAACACAUGCAAGUCGAACGGAAAGGCCCUGCUUUUGUGGGGUGCUCGAGUGGCGAACGGGUGAGUAACACGUGAGUAACCUGCCCUUGACUUUGGGAUAACUUCAGGAAACUGGGGCUAAUACCGGAUAGGAGCUCCUGCUGCAUGGUGGGGGUUGGAAAGUUUCGGCGGGUGGGGAUGGACUCGCGGCUUAUCAGCUUGUUGGUGGGGUAGUGGCUUACCAAGGCUUUGACGGGUAGCCGGCCUGAGAGGGUGACCGGCGACAUUGGGACUGAGAUACGGCCCAGACUCCUACGGGAGGCAGCAGUGGGGAAUAUUGCCCAAUGGGCGGAAGCCUGAUGCAGCAACGCCGCGUGCGGGAUGACGGCCUUCGGGUUGUAAACCGCUUUCGCCUGUGACGAAGCGUGAGUGACGGUAAUGGGUAAAGAAGCACCGGCUAACUACGUG
This 468-nucleotide ribosomal RNA is filed under the name uncultured bacterium. RNAcentral describes it as "partial 16S ribosomal RNA". It matches the Rfam family "Bacterial small subunit ribosomal RNA", at positions 28 to 507 of the family's 1533-position model. The record is from RNAcentral.